GCCAAUAGGAUUUAAACUUGUAAUAGAGGCCACGUCGAAGGGAAGCUGAAAGGUGUUGGUUGAUCCUUUCCAAAAGAAGAUUGAAGCUAGAAACAUGCAUGGAUUGUAUUUGGGGCCAGUCCUUCACAUAUUCACCGUAUCAUAAAUGCCCAAUUUCUACCAGUGUUGCUUCUUCUUGGCUUGAACCUUAUUAAGCCACACCAAUCACUCUUUGAUUCAGAGUCGUUGGAGCAGAUCAGAACACGCGAUUGGGGUUGACCAUAAAAGAUAGGUCAAGA
This 278-nucleotide long non-coding RNA is filed under the name Lathyrus oleraceus (garden pea). Its description in RNAcentral is "Pisum sativum (pea) long non-coding RNA (PSAT_LNC024365)". The record is from RNAcentral. Lineage: Eukaryota; Viridiplantae; Streptophyta; Magnoliopsida; Fabales; Fabaceae.